AUGACAUCAUUGGGCCACAACCGACAUGGUCACGAAGAGAACAAGACCAGCAGUUUAACCAGCAGCAUUCCAAUUACUGGUAUCGAGAACCGGCCCUUGACUGACGAACCGGAGAAGAUUUGGGGUUGGGAUGAGGCGGUCGUGACCCUGCUGGAGUCUGGGGGGGACCUCCAGCCCCCCGGGGGGGCCCUGACUCUGCUCUGUCGCGCCUCCGGGUUCGAUUUUGGGAGUUAUGGAAUGCUCUGGAUCCGCCAAAGACCUGGGAGGGCACUGGAAUACGUUGCACAGAUCGGAAACAAUGGCGGUUACAUCUACUACGCGCCGUCGGUGCAGGGUCGGUUCACGAUCUCCAGGGACAACGGGCAGAGCUCGGUGACGCUGACCAUGAACAACCUCAAGGACGAGGAUUCCGCCGUUUAUUUCUGUGCCAAAGAUUACAGCAAUUAUUGGGGUCCUGCUGCUGCUGCUUUUGCACGGCCCCAGCUCUCGACUUCCCCCAGCUGGGCCCAAAUCUCCGCCUUUCACCCCUGA
This is a non-coding RNA of Catharus ustulatus (Swainson's thrush), 531 nucleotides long. The record is from the annotation of a RefSeq genome assembly. NCBI's taxonomy places the organism in Eukaryota, Metazoa, Chordata, Aves, Passeriformes, Turdidae.